Molecule: long non-coding RNA, 731 nt
Organism: Xiphophorus hellerii (green swordtail)
Lineage: Eukaryota; Metazoa; Chordata; Actinopteri; Cyprinodontiformes; Poeciliidae
Exons: 2
Source: RefSeq, a predicted model, not a curated record
CCUGCUAACUCAGCCAAAUAGAGUUAGGAAGAAUUUCACUUUUCUACAUAAUCAAACUUGUUCUCUGAGCUGUUGGCAAUGUUUCAUACCAAUAAUAGGGCAUGCAUAUAUCAGCAGGCUCAAAAUCCAUAUUGCCAAAAAAUGCAUCCCCCUCCUAGCUUGAAGAAAUAGAAAAUAAAGAGUUAAGAGGGAUUUUACCUUUUCUACAUGAUCAGAGUAAUUAUAUAAACUGCUGGUAUGAGUUUUAUACCAAUAGGAUAAUAUUUGAGGAAAAUAGAGAGGGCAUGCAAAUAUUGACAGGCUAAUAAUAGGCUUUGACAAAAAAUGCAUCAACCUGCUAACAUGGACAAAUAAAGAGUUAAGAGUGAAAUUACUUUUUCUACACAAUCAUACUUGUUCUUUGAACUGCUGAUAUAAGUUUUAUAUCAAUAGAAUAAUAUUUGGGGAAAAUAGGUAGGGUAUGCAUAUAUUGGCAAGCUAAUAAUUUGCUAUGCCAAAAAAUGCAUCCCCUGCUAACUUGAAGAAAUGAAGAGUUAAGAGGUAUUUGCCUUUUUCUACAUAAUGAGCUACUGCUAUAAGUUUCAUAUCAAAAGACAAGGAUGCAAAUAUUGACAGGGUCAGAAAUUAAAAUGCAUCCCCCCUACAUUAAUAGACCAGACAGUUAAGGAUGAUAUAAAAUGUUCUACAUAAUGGGAUUCUGUUUUGUAAUGCUUUAAGCUAUCAUGGUGUUA